RNAcentral lists this ribosomal RNA (403 nucleotides) under uncultured bacterium. Its description in RNAcentral is "bacterial SSU rRNA". It matches the Rfam family "Bacterial small subunit ribosomal RNA", at positions 355 to 774 of the family's 1533-position model. The record is from RNAcentral.
UAGGGAAUAUUGCAAAAUGGGCGAAAGCCCGAUGCAGCAACGCCGCGUGGGCGAUGAAGGCCUUCGGGUCGUAAAGCCCUUUUUGAGGGGAUGAGGAAGGACAGUACCCUCAGAAUGAGCCUCGGCUAACUACGUGCCAGCAGCCGCGGUAAAACGUAGGAGGCGAGCGUUAUCCGGAUUUACUGGGCGUACAGCGCGUGCAGGCGGAUUGGAGAGUUGGAUGUGAAAGCUCCCGGCUUAACUGGGAGAGGUCGUUCAAUACUUCCAGUCUUGAGUGCAGUAGAGGGAAGUGGAAUUCCGGGUGUAGUGGUGAAAUGCGUAGAUAUCCGGAGGAACACCAGUGGCGAGAGCGGCUUCCUGAACUGUAACUGACGCUCAGACGCGAAAGCUAGGGUAGCAAACG